Long non-coding RNA from Corvus hawaiiensis (hawaiian crow), 554 nucleotides. RefSeq lists it as uncharacterized. Lineage: Eukaryota; Metazoa; Chordata; Aves; Passeriformes; Corvidae. The record is from RefSeq and is a predicted model, not a curated record. The transcript has 3 exons.
UGAUACUGGAUCAGUAUGACUUGGUACAUGUUCACUGCACUUUGAGAGACAUAUUCUCCAGUGAAAAUUGACAGAACAAUUUCAGCAGACAUAAAACCUUCUCCUGAAUUUGCACAAGGCCUGCAGAUGCUCCUGCCACAGAGAACAGGGUCUCUAAAUGCUCCAGGCUGAAGCACCGGUGCUGCUAAUAGAGUAAAUUGCACGUACAUAGCAGCAGUCAUCCCUGCCGCUUUCACAGGAACCGAGCGCUCCUUCCUGAGUGAGCCUCCGAUUUUAAGCCCUGAAAGAGCAGCUUGACACCCUGUGACCUGCCUGGAAGUGAUGAAAAAGGCAGCAGUAUUCCCUGGUGAGUUUGGACACGCACAUCAGGGGCUGAAUGCCUUUGUUUGUUUAGGACUGCCGUAAGUUGGGUGUUGUAAACAUGACUCAUGACGAGUUUAAUUAAGACAAAAAACAUGGGAAAUGCAGAAGAAAGUCACGCAUCUUUCUCUGCAGCUUUGGCAGCUGAAGGUUUUUCUGAGAGAUUUGAAUGUGCUGCACCAGUGCAAAUAUAA